Molecule: ribosomal RNA, 276 nt
Filed under: uncultured prokaryote
Description: partial 16S ribosomal RNA
Rfam family: Bacterial small subunit ribosomal RNA
Source: RNAcentral
UACGUAGGGGGCGAGCGUUAUCCGGAAUUAUUGGGCGUAAAGAGUACGUAGGCGGGAGCUUAAGCACAGGGUUUAAGGCAAUGGCUUAACCACUGUAUGCCUUGUGAACUGAGCUUCUUGAGUGCAGGAGGGGAAAGCGGAAUUCCUAGUGUAGCGGUGAAAUGCGUAGAUAUUAGGAGGAACACCAGUGGCGAAGGCGGCUUUCUGGACUGUAACUGACGCUGAGGUACGAAAGCGUGGGGAGCAAACAGGAUUAGAUACCCUGGUAGUCCCUGA